AGGCACAAAUUGUAAGUUAAUAAAAUAACUUUUUUUGAUGACAUUUUUGAAAUAAACAUUAAUAUACGCUUAUUCGACUAAAACAUCAAUAUAAAUCAACACAACAAAUUAUUCAAAUUUAUUGGAGUAUCAUCUUGUGAUAUUGUUCAAAUUGUACCAAAGGAUGGAAGCGGGCAAUGUUCCUCAAAGGUGGAAGAUAUUGACUAUUGUACCAGUGAAAAAAGCGAAAAACACUCAAAAGCCUUAAGAGUCUAGACCGAUAAAUAGAAGAAUAUGCUUGCGAAAUACCUUAAGUAAAACAAACCAAUAGUACAAGAAAUGGACAGUGGACAAACUUAAGUAGUUCCUUUAGAAUUAGCACAAGGCUCAAUAUUGGCACCUACAUACAUUUGCAUAUUAUUUCUGAGAUACAUAAAUGAUGUUAUUGAUGCAGUAAAAUAAUAUAAGAUUAAAUUGUUGCAGAUGAUGCCCUCUUAGCAUUAGUGAUACAAAUAUUACAUCAGCUGGUUCAAAAUCACAAAACGAUCAAGAUAAUUUAUAUAAAUGGUGCAUAUGUGCAAUUCAUAUCAUUCAAUUAUAUAAGGUUGUGUCGAUACGGAGCGUGCUUCCUUUUACGAAAGAAGUGUUUGUAUCCAUAAUGUCAAAAAAACUGCUUUUCGUUUUUCUUAUGAAUUUUCUGCUUAAAAUUUGAUGAUUUUAUAUGAUUUACAAUCUAUUUGUAUUCAAAUAUCACUCAAAAACUCAUUUUCAUUGGUUAGAAAUCUUUGAACAAUUUAUUUUGGUAUCGUAAAAUCAAAACAAUACUAUGAAAAAUUGUUGUUUUUGAACUAUCGACACAAUCUUAUGUAUAUAAUUGAGUCUUGUGUGCAAUUACUUUAAAAUCUAAGGUAACAAAAAUUAAAUACAUGAUAAUUAAUCGAAAAAA
This is a non-coding RNA of Bactrocera oleae (olive fruit fly), 925 nucleotides long. The record is from RefSeq and is a predicted model, not a curated record. NCBI's taxonomy places the organism in Eukaryota, Metazoa, Arthropoda, Insecta, Diptera, Tephritidae.